UAGUUUUUUCGGGUAUAUGAAACAAAAUGGAAAAAAAGUCAGCAAGAAGCAGAUGUCAAACUACAUAGGAUGCAGUUUUUACAAUUUCCACAAGAUGGUGACCUCACUUAUUGUCAGUUGGAACGCACAACCAGGAAGCAAUAGGAGGCAAAGAGAGGAAGUGAUGUAAUAUACCGACAGGAAGUUACAAGUCAAAGGUUAGUAGAGAGGCGACGUUACUGGAACUGGCAACAUAAGAGGGUUAUUAAAGUAGUGAAAACAUAUUUUGAGUCAUUAACACCCAUCAUUCUUCAGAGGACAUCACAGCGCCUCCAUCUCACUGCCUGACAACAGAGGUAACAGGUGCCAAGAUCACUGAUCUGCUGACAGGAGAGGUUCCUAUACGGUGUCAGGAUGUCAC
Rana temporaria (common frog) is the source of this 400-nucleotide long non-coding RNA. RefSeq lists it as uncharacterized. The record is from RefSeq and is a predicted model, not a curated record. The transcript has 3 exons. NCBI's taxonomy places the organism in Eukaryota, Metazoa, Chordata, Amphibia, Anura, Ranidae.